RNAcentral lists this ribosomal RNA (386 nucleotides) under uncultured bacterium. Its description in RNAcentral is "bacterial SSU rRNA". It matches the Rfam family "Bacterial small subunit ribosomal RNA", at positions 29 to 416 of the family's 1533-position model. The record is from RNAcentral.
AUUGAACGCUGGCGGCAUGCCUAACACAUGCAAGUCGAACGGCAGCGCGGGGGCAACCCUGGCGGCGAGUGGCGGACGGGUGAGGAAUGCAUCGGAAUCUGCCCGGUUGUGGGGGAUAACUCACCGAAAGGUGAGCUAAUACCGCAUAAGACCGAGAGGUGAAAGCGGGGGACCUUCGGGCCUCGCGCGAUCGGAUGAGCCGAUGCCGGAUUAGCUAGUUGGUAGGGUAAAGGCCUACCAAGGCGACGAUCCGUAGCUGGUCUGAGAGGAUGAUCAGCCACACUGGGACUGAGACACGGCCCAGACUCCUACGGGAGGCAGCAGUGGGGAAUAUUGGACAAUGGGCGCAAGCCUGAUCCAGCAAUGCCGCGUGUGUGAAGAAGGCC